GGACUUUGUCUUAUUAAUUUAUAAGAAAGACUUGGUUUUCAGCAGACAGAAAACUAAAUUUGUUCCCAUCCAUCUGAAUCAGACUUUUUUUGCAUAAAAAUUCUGAGUAUUUUACCCUCUAUGUCUCAUUCAAUUAUGUUCUUGACCAAACCUAACUUCUUAUCUUUAAAAAUUAGUGAUCGACUAGUAACUACAAACUAUCUAGGAAAUAUAC
RNAcentral lists this long non-coding RNA (214 nucleotides) under Elaeis guineensis (African oil palm). Its description in RNAcentral is "long non-coding RNA (EGUI_LNC017635)". Lineage: Eukaryota; Viridiplantae; Streptophyta; Magnoliopsida; Arecales; Arecaceae. The record is from RNAcentral.